RNAcentral lists this ribosomal RNA (390 nucleotides) under uncultured bacterium. Its description in RNAcentral is "bacterial SSU rRNA". It matches the Rfam family "Bacterial small subunit ribosomal RNA", at positions 28 to 410 of the family's 1533-position model. The record is from RNAcentral.
GAUGAACGCUAGCGGCAGGCUUAACACAUGCAAGUCGAGGGGCAGCAUAAACAUUGCUUGCAAUGUUUGAUGGCGACCGGCGCACGGGUGCGUAACGCGUAUGUAACCUACCUCAAACAGGGGCAUAACACUGAGAAAUUGGUACUAAUUCCCCAUAACACUCUGGGAGGCAUCUCCUGGGGUUGAAAGUUCCGGCGGUUUGAGAUGGACAUGCGUUGUAUUAGCUAGUUGGUGAGGUAACGGCUCACCAAGGCGACGAUACAUAGGGGGACUGAGAGGUUAACCCCCCACAUUGGUACUGAGACACGGACCAACUCCUACGGGAGGCAGGCAGUGGGGAAUAUUGCACAAUGGGCGAAAGCCUGAUGCAGCGACGCCGCGUGAGCGAAG